RNAcentral lists this long non-coding RNA (548 nucleotides) under Homo sapiens (human). RNAcentral's name for it is "novel transcript". The record is from RNAcentral. Lineage: Eukaryota; Metazoa; Chordata; Mammalia; Primates; Hominidae.
ACUGCAGAGCCUGUCCGUCAGUCCCUAGGUAUCCGCACUGCUCAGGGGAGGAUUCCCUGGGAGCACCCACCAGCUGAGAUCUGCACAUCAGCCACAAUCCUCUCAGGACGGCGGAAAGGGAAGGGCUCAGCCGCCAGCCUGGCCACAGCCUGCAUCAUCUCAUCCCAGAGGCGGAGCACAGGCUCGGGGUCCUUCAGGGCCUGAAGGAGGUAGAGCCCGGUACUCACCCAGCAAUCAUUGUUGCCUGACAAAAGUCACAGAGAAGGCUCAGUUCUUCCUUCCUAUCUCUGAGAUCCCCUCCAGGAGCUGCUGCUGGUCCUGCCUGACAUCCUCCCCAUACCUGGAAGAGACAGGAGAAACAAUGAGGCUACAGUCAGUUAAUGAGCCACUGAAUCGAACUCAUUGAGUAGAGAAAUCUAUGUGCAGAUGGAGUUUCGCUCUGUCGCCAGGCUAGAGUGCAGUGGCACAAUCUCGGCUCACUGCAACCUCCACCUACCGGGUUCAAGCAAUUCUACUGCCUCAGCCUCCCGAGAAGCUGGGACUACAGG